AAUUCUUCUCCAUCAAGCCAUAUCAAAGGUUUAUUAUCCACUUUUACCACCUCAACAUAUAUCUCCCAAAAUUGAGCCUCAAGUCCAUUAUUUCCCACAACUUUAUUGGGGUUCUUACUUACAAAAGUUCCUAAUGCUACAUUGAGAUGAUAUAUUUUGGAACUCUUUAUCAUAACUUUAUUUCCUUCUUACAAAUAGAAAUUCAUAUGUAAUAAUAUAAACUAUCAAAAAAAAGCUUGAAUAAUAAAUUUUCAAGAUAAAUCAUGUCAAGUAAGAUUCAUUUGCCUUAAGAGAAGAAGCAUGCUAUAACUUUAUUCUUUUUGUUUUAUUUUUCUAUACUAUAAAAAUAUUAUUAUUAGUUUUCAUUAUAGAUUAAUGCCCAGUUUAGCUAUCAUUGAGUUGAGUUUCCACCAUCGUCUAAGUGUUUAGGUUGUAUCUUUCGUGCAAAAGAGAUUCAGUACCUUCUAUCAUGGUGUCAACUAUUGGAUCAUACUAUAGCCACUU
RNAcentral lists this long non-coding RNA (504 nucleotides) under Elaeis guineensis (African oil palm). RNAcentral describes it as "long non-coding RNA (EGUI_LNC065943)". Lineage: Eukaryota; Viridiplantae; Streptophyta; Magnoliopsida; Arecales; Arecaceae. The record is from RNAcentral.